This 778-nucleotide ribosomal RNA is filed under the name uncultured bacterium. RNAcentral describes it as "bacterial SSU rRNA". It matches the Rfam family "Bacterial small subunit ribosomal RNA", at positions 59 to 823 of the family's 1533-position model. The record is from RNAcentral.
CAGUCGAGGGGCAGCAUGGUCUUAGCUUGCUAAGGCCGAUGGCGACCGGCGCACGCGGUGAGUAACACGUAUCCAACCUGCCGUCUACUCUUGGACAGCCUUCUGAAAGGAAGAUUAAUACAAGAUGGCAUCAUGAGUUCACAUGUUCACAUGAUUAAAGGUAUUUUCCGGUAGACGAUGGGGAUGCGUUCCAUUAGAUAGUAGGCGGGGUAACGGCCCACCUAGUCAACGAUGGAUAGGGGUUCUGAGAGGAAGGUCCCCCACAUUGGAACUGAGACACGGUCCAAACUCCUACGGGAGGCAGCAGUGAGGAAUAUUGGUCAAUGGGCGAUGGCCUGAACCAGCCAAGUAGCGUGAAGGAUGACUGCCCUAUGGGUUGUAAACUUCUUUUAUAAAGGAAUAAAGUCGGGUAUGCAUACCCGUUUGCAUGUACUUUAUGAAUAAGGAUCGGCUAACUCCGUGCCAGCAGCCGCGGUAAUACGGAGGAUCCGAGCGUUAUCCGGAUUUAUUGGGUUUAAAGGGAGCGUAGAUGGAUGUUUAAGUCAGUUGUGAAAGUUUGCGGCUCAACCGUAAAAUUGCAGUUGAUACUGGAUGUCUUGAGUGCAGUUGAGGCAGGCGGAAUUCGUGGUGUAGCGGUGAAAUGCUUAGAUAUCACGAAGAACUCCGAUUGCGAAGGCAGCCUGCUAAGCUGCAACUGACAUUGAGGCUCGAAAGUGUGGGUAUCAAACAGGAUUAGAUACCCUGGUAGUCCACACGGUAAACGAUGAAUACUCGCUGU